GGGGUAGCUCAGUUGGUAGAGCGCCGCCACUAUGGGCGGAGGUCGUCGGUUCGAGUCCGAUCCCUUUCC
Molecule: transfer RNA, 69 nt
Filed under: Mycobacterium phage ScoobyDoobyDoo
Lineage: Duplodnaviria; Heunggongvirae; Uroviricota; Caudoviricetes
Description: tRNA-OTHER
Rfam family: tRNA
About the family: Transfer RNA (tRNA) molecules are approximately 80 nucleotides in length. Their secondary structure includes four short double-helical elements and three loops (D, anti-codon, and T loops).
Source: RNAcentral